GUCAAAGGGAACCGAGGAAAUAAAAUUACCGGUUUCCGAAGAGCAAACUAGGGAGUCAUCAGGUACUGCUUACAAGGAAGAGGUUCGAGUAGUCGAAUCAGCUGAUGCCGGACAAGAUUAUGGCAAGGCCGUGAUCCCCGAUAGCACAGGAAAUCCGCCGUAUACUGUCUCCGUUGCCGGACGCCCCCUGCAUCCGACUUCAUGGAUGAGUUGCUGUGGACUUUUCGAAAUUCUGCACCGAAGAUCUGACAGAUAAUUUAAGAAACAGAACAUUACGGCUAGUGCAACUGAGCCAUGAAGGUCGCACAGCUAUACCUAAAUCGAUAUAGUGUUUGAGAUUUAGAGCUUCACUUUGUGUUAGCAGCUGAGGAUUUGAGAUUGGUUAUUCGUGAUUUUGUGUGGAGUGAAUUUCAUCAUCCGGUAUAUUUUCCAUAUUUAGUGAAGAACGGUUCUUCUAUAUUCCUUUCAGUGACAUGUAUGUACCAAGGAUUUCAAUUUUUAAUUUGGUAUAUGUAGAACUUAAGAAUCUGUUACCCAAUGUAUAUCAUCUAUACAUUGAUGAUUGAUGGUUGAUGCUAAAGAAAGGUUUAUGCUUGAGUGUUAA
This is a long non-coding RNA of Pyrus x bretschneideri (Chinese white pear), 604 nucleotides long. RefSeq lists it as uncharacterized. Lineage: Eukaryota; Viridiplantae; Streptophyta; Magnoliopsida; Rosales; Rosaceae. The transcript has 3 exons. The record is from RefSeq and is a predicted model, not a curated record.